This 305-nucleotide ribosomal RNA is filed under the name uncultured bacterium. Its description in RNAcentral is "bacterial SSU rRNA". It matches the Rfam family "Bacterial small subunit ribosomal RNA", at positions 334 to 635 of the family's 1533-position model. The record is from RNAcentral.
CACUGCCUACGGGGGGCAGCAGUGAGGAAUAUUGGUCAAUGGACGAGAGUCUGAACCAGCCAAGUAGCGUGAAGGAUGACUGCCCUAUGGGUUGUAAACUUCUUUUAUAUGGGAAUAAAGCAGGGUGUGCAUACCCUCUUGUAUGUACCAUAUGAAUAAGGAUCGGCUAACUCCGUGCCAGCAGCCGCGGUAAUACGGAGGAUCCGAGCGUUAUCCGGAUUUAUUGGGUUUAAAGGGAGCGUAGGUGGAUUGUUAAGUCAGUUGUGAAAGUUUGCGGCUCAACCGUAAAAUUGCAGUUGAAACUG